This 500-nucleotide ribosomal RNA is filed under the name uncultured bacterium. Its description in RNAcentral is "partial 16S ribosomal RNA". It matches the Rfam family "Bacterial small subunit ribosomal RNA", at positions 28 to 507 of the family's 1533-position model. The record is from RNAcentral.
GACGAACGCUGGCGGCGUGCUUAACACAUGCAAGUCGAACGGGUCUGCCCUGUUUUUUGCGGGGUGGGUCAGUGGCGAACGGGUGAGUAACACGUGAGUAACCUGCCCCUCACUUCUGGAUAACCGCUUGAAAGGGUGGCUAAUACGGGGUGUUCUGGCUGUGCCGCAUGGUGUGGCUGGGAAAGAUUCACUUUUGUGGUGUUUUGGUGGGGGAUGGGCUCGCGGCCUAUCAGCUUGUUGGUGGGGUGAUGGCCUGCCAAGGCUUUGACGGGUAGCCGGCCUGAGAGGGUGGGCGGUCACACUGGGACUGAGAUACGGCCCAGACUCCUGCGGGAGGCAGCAGUGGGGGGUAUUGCACAAUGGGCGGAAGCCUGAUGCAGCGACGUCGCGUGAGGGAUGGAGGCCUUCGGGUUGUGAACCUCUUUCGCCGGUGAAGAAGGUCCUGCUCUUUGUGGUGGGGCUGACGGUAGCCGGGUUAUGAAGCGCCGGCUAACUACGUG